UACGUAGGGCGCAAGCGUUGUCCGGAUUUAUUGGGCGUAAAGAGCUCGUAGGCGGCUUGUCGCGUCGUUCGUGAAAACUUGGGGCUCAACCCCAAGCUUGCGGUCGAUACGGGCAGGCUAGAGUUCGGUAGGGGAGACUGGAAUUCCUGGUGUAGCGGUGAAAUGCGCAGAUAUCAGGAGGAACACCGGUGGCGAAGGCGGGUCUCUGGGCCGAUACUGACGCUGAGGAGCGAAAGCGUGGGGAGCGAACAGG
RNAcentral lists this ribosomal RNA (253 nucleotides) under uncultured bacterium. RNAcentral's name for it is "partial 16S ribosomal RNA". It matches the Rfam family "Bacterial small subunit ribosomal RNA", at positions 524 to 776 of the family's 1533-position model. The record is from RNAcentral.